GUGGGGGAUAUUGCACAAUGGAGGAAACUCUGAUGCAGCGACGCCGCGUGAGUGAAGAAGUAUUUCGGUAUGUAAAGCUCUAUCAGCAGGGAAGAUAAUGACAGUACCUGACUAAGAAGCCCCGGCUAACUACGUGCCAGCAGCCGCGGUAAUACGUAGGGGGCAAGCGUUAUCCGGAUUUACUGGGUGUAAAGGGAGCGUAGACGGAAUGGCAAGUCUGAAGUGAAAUCCUGCGGCUUAACUGCAGAAUUGCUUUGGAAACUGUCAAUCUGGAGUGUUGGAGAGGUAAGCGGAAUUCCUGGUGUAGCGGUGAAAUGCGUAGAUAUUAGGAAGAACACCGGAGGCGAAGGCGGCUUACUGGACAAUAACUGACGUUGAGGCUCGAAAGCGUGGGAAGCAAACAGGAUUAGAAACCCUUGUAGUCC
This 425-nucleotide ribosomal RNA is filed under the name uncultured bacterium. RNAcentral's name for it is "partial 16S ribosomal RNA". It matches the Rfam family "Bacterial small subunit ribosomal RNA", at positions 354 to 796 of the family's 1533-position model. The record is from RNAcentral.